Long non-coding RNA from Physeter macrocephalus (sperm whale), 2013 nucleotides. RefSeq lists it as uncharacterized. NCBI's taxonomy places the organism in Eukaryota, Metazoa, Chordata, Mammalia, Artiodactyla, Physeteridae. The transcript is spliced from 3 exons. The record is from RefSeq and is a predicted model, not a curated record.
CAGCAAUUCCUCUCCCAGAAAUAUACCCCAGAGAAACUCUUGCAGAUGUGCAAAGGGGGCUGUGUGUAAGAAUAUUCAAACUAACAUUGUUCAAAUUAGGAAAAACCUGGUGACAAUCUAAAUGUCCAGUGGCAGAAGAAUAGAUAAAUAUGCUGUGGUCCAUUCAGACGAUUGAACAUUAUAUUGCAACGACAAUGAACAAACCACAGCUACACGCAGCAACAUAGAUGAAUCUUACAAAUGUGAUGCUAAGUCCAGGAAAGCAAGUUGCAGGAGACCAUAUAGCCUGAGAUGCUUUUUAAAAAGAAAGUUCAAAAGCAAGCAAAAUUAGAGGACUUCCCUGGUGGCGCAGUGGUUAAGAAUCCACCUUCCAAUGCAGGUGACGCACGUUCGACCCCUGUUCAGGGAACUAGAUCCCACAUGCAAGCCGCAACUAAGAGUAUGCAUGCCGAAACUAAGGAGCCAGUGAACCGCAACUAAGGAGCCCACCGGCCUCAACUAAAGAGUACACGUGCUGCAACUAAGAGCCAGCACAACCAAAAUUUAAAAAAAAAAGAAAAAAAAAAGAGAGAAACAAAAAGCAAGGAAAAUUAUCAUAAACGUGAUAAAACAAGAAAAACAAGCAAUGAACGCUAAACACAAAAUUCAGAUAGAGGCUAUUUCUGAGGUCAGAUGGGAAAGGGAGAGUGGGGAGGAGAGGAGCAAAUAUGAUGUGUUGGUGGUGGUAUUCUAGUUCUUGGUUUGAGAAGUGCAUUUACUGGUGAUGACAUGAAUGAGAGAUAAUAGGUGUUAAAGCCAAGAAUUGUGAUUCAUCUAAAUCUAUGGAUCUGUAUAUAUAGUGCUGGGGUUACAGGUGCCAAGGAUGGGGUUGAGGCAGGAAAUCAGUGCAUUCUGAGAAUUAACCGUCUGAGUCAUAGAGUCUGCAAGGGACCCCAGAGAUCCCCCAGGGCCAGCCUUCCAUCAGGUUAGGGUGGAGGGGAGCGGACAGCACUGCCUGAGAUCGGGUAAGAGGAGAGACUUUGAGAUCAAACAGCAAGGAGCCAGGCAUCCUGACUCAAAGUCUCCUCAUCUUUGCCUAAAGAGAAAACCAGUUGGCAGGGCUUCCUUUGAAGGAAGUUUGGACAUCCUUAAUGAUGGAGGCUAGGCUCUAGAGCACUGAGAUGCUGCAGGGUUGAGGACAGGGCAUUGGGAUGCCCCAUACCCACCUGCCUACAGGAAAAAGACUCGAUAGAAUAGAGACUUUUAAAUACUUUUGACUGUGACCAUAGUAAGAAACUCAUUUUUACAUCAUAACCCAAUUCACGCACACAAGUGUAUGUGAAACUGAAGCAAUUCUUACCCUUGUUAUAUAUGAUGCAUACUGAUAGUUUCAUCCUAUUUUUUGUUUUCAUUUUGUCAGUGUUAGAUGCAAACUAUUAAAUUGAUUUUAUAAGCCACUACUGGGUCAUAGCCCACAGCUGCUGUGAAGAGGUCACUAGAGCCUCUAGCGGGCCAGGCCUGCCUUUUCCAGAGCAAGCCAGGCCAGGGCCCCACUGCAUCUGACCCUGACCUUCCUUCCCUCUCUCCCUGGGCCCCCAGCUGGCCAGGCACAAGGGGCCUGAAGGCUGACAUCAAUGCAGAGACAGAACUUCCCUUUUCCCCUCUUGGCCCCUCUGGGUCCUCCCCCAGGCCCUGGGCUGUCUGGAGUGCCCAUUUCCUGCCCUGUGGAGAUCCCUGGACUCACGGAGGAAAGUGGCCGCUAUAGCAUGUGGGGUAUUAUAAAGGAUACAGAUGAACAGCCAGAUGAAGAGGUACCUAGGGCAAGAUCCCGUGUACAGGAGCAUCUGUCCCUUUGGAACUGGGGUGUGUCACUCCCAACAUGUGGACUUCUCACCAACCUGGAAGCUCUUCAGACACCAUCCUUCUGGGUUUUUAUGGAGGCUUCAGUAGGAUGGUCAGUUACCUGGUAACGUGUCAUCUGAACAGGACUCACAGCUCUGGAGCUGGCAGCUAUAGACUGGUCCAAGUCAGCAC